Molecule: unclassified non-coding RNA, 330 nt
Filed under: soil metagenome
Description: partial contains 5.8S ribosomal RNA, internal transcribed spacer 2, and large subunit ribosomal RNA
Rfam family: 5.8S ribosomal RNA (bases 1-121)
Source: RNAcentral
GAUGAAGAACGCAGCGAAAUGCGAUAAGUAAUGCGAAUUGCAGAAUUUCCGUGAAUCAUCGAAUCUUUGAACGCACAUUGCGCCCCUUGGUAUUCCGAGGGGCAUGCCUGUUCGAGCGUCAUUAUAACCCCUCAAGCUCAGCUUGGUGUUGGGGCCUGCUGCACUGGCAGCCCUUAAAAUCAGUGGCGGCGCCAUCUGGCUCUAAGCGUAGUAAUUCUUCUCGCUAUGGAGUCCUGGUGGAUGCUUGCCAUCAACCCCCAAUUUUUCUAUGGUUGACCUCGGAUCAGGUAGGGAUACCCGCUGAACUUAAGCAUAUCAAUAAGCGGAGGA